RNAcentral lists this unclassified non-coding RNA (563 nucleotides) under Hevea brasiliensis (rubber tree). Lineage: Eukaryota; Viridiplantae; Streptophyta; Magnoliopsida; Malpighiales; Euphorbiaceae. The record is from RNAcentral.
GGCUACUAUCUGAUGGGAUUUACUCACUUUCUUGAGUUCAGAGAUUGACUCAUCGGUGAUUUUAUGUUGUUCUCUUGCUCUCAGCUGGAUUAAAGGCCGACCUUGUUCAUAUCCAGCCCGCCUUAGUUUUCUUGCUGUAUAUCCCUGCAAAAUGAAAGUUCAUUCACUGUGCUGUUAUAAAAAACAAAUUAAUGCCUUCCAAUGAAAGUGAAUAAUUUUUCAUUUUGGCUCGUUGCUCCAGCUGUCUAUGAGGUUUCAAAGUUCAAUGUAAAAAUAGGACUAUCAUUACCUACAGUUUGUGAGAUUAAGUUGGUUUACCAGAAAUAGCCCAAAGCUUUCAUUCUUCGUUGCUACCACCACGUCCAGAGCGGUUAAAUUUUCAUUGUUGACGGCCUUUUUAUCAACUAGAUGGUGUUCUGUAAGACUUUCAAAGCCAAAAGCAGCAGCUAGAUGGACUGGAGUGUUCCCUUCUUUAUCUUUCUGAUUAAUUAGGUUGGCCAGGGAAGGUUCUUCGGUAAUAAUUUGCACUCCUUUAAAAUUGCCGCUUUCCACAGCAAAAUGGA